Momordica charantia (bitter melon) is the source of this 435-nucleotide RNA transcript. It is a transcript of the gene named transcription factor bHLH147 pseudogene, with no coding region annotated. The record is from RefSeq and is a predicted model, not a curated record. NCBI's taxonomy places the organism in Eukaryota, Viridiplantae, Streptophyta, Magnoliopsida, Cucurbitales, Cucurbitaceae.
UUAUAACCCCUCUCUCCACCGUUCCCGCUUUCUCUCCCCACUUCACAGUCGGCUUUCCUCAACAAACUCCGUUCCGUUUCUCCUAAUUCCUCUCUCUUCGCCACCGUUCUCCUCUGAAUUAUGUCAUCGUCGUUGCUCGAUCGCUUCGAAUUUGGAUUCGUUUCUCUCUGAAUCGCCGUGAAAGGAGGAUUUGAUCUGUUCUAGCUUCGGAGGAAUCUGUGAGGUGAGGAAGAGUAGUGCGUGCGGCAUUCGGAGAGGGAAUUUCGUUCCGGAAUCUUUUUGAAAAAAGAUUUGGUAGUUACGGCAGUGAGAAUAAUAUCUUGAAUUCGGAUCGGUGUAUUGUGGUUAUUAAUGAUGGCGUCGUCUCUGAUUCUGAAUCCUGCGGCGAGUUCUGAGCGAUCGCGUGAUUCGUCCAGAAAGAAAAAGAAAAAGAAA